CACUUGUCUUCACAAGUGUAAAAAAAAAAAAAAGUUCUAAGAAAGGUGGUAAGCUCAAUAAACAUUUAUGAAAAACCUAACUUAAACACUUUUUUCCUGUAACAGAUAGUAUUGUGAAAUGUUUCAGAUGUUUCUCCUCACAGCAUUUCUUUUUGUCCAAACAGAUAUUAAAAUGCAGGAUGCAACUCCACAUUUCAACACAAGAGACUUUGCCAGAUAGGGUAAGCUAUGCCAAACGAUAUAAAGGUUUAGAAAAAAACAAAUGAACCAACACUUGAGAAAACUUGGGAAGUGACAGUGAACAAUGAAUCUUUAGACGUAGUUGUCUGUUGUCCAUUUUAGAUGUUGUGAAGAAUAGUAUCCUUUUUCUGAUUGUUCAUAAUCUAACGCACAGUCAAAUUUUGUUUUGAAAGGGUAUGUGUACUCUUCAAGUACUGCCAUGUUUUUGCAGUGUGUCGGGAGGGACCCCCAGGCUGGGCAGAGAUUGCUCUGACAACAGGUGAAGCGGCUCAGCUGGGGAGCUUUCUGGAGCACAAGACAAGUCUGGAUCCAACAGGCUACCACCAACAGUGCAAAGGGAAAUUAAAAAGAAAAGUUUUAAUUUGAAGAAUAAUCAUGAGAAAAAGAAGUGACAGUCACUUCUUUCUUUGAAUCCCCUUUCAGAGUUCUUAUAACUCAAGAAUAGCUAAAACCUCACAGAAGAAACACAGAAGGAGCUGGUUCAAGCAAA
RNAcentral lists this long non-coding RNA (730 nucleotides) under Anas platyrhynchos platyrhynchos (common mallard). RNAcentral's name for it is "lncRNA (ENSAPLG00000021281.1)". Lineage: Eukaryota; Metazoa; Chordata; Aves; Anseriformes; Anatidae. The record is from RNAcentral.